AGAAUCAGCGAACCUUCUCCAUUAUUCAAAGCAAAUCAAGGGGGACUAUGGUAACUCUGGUUCCAGUCCAAACGAUCCUUCAUCUCCCUCGCCUCCACAGCAUCGGGCACUCCAUCUACCUAGACACCAAAACGCUAACUUCUCCGACCUUCCAAUGCCAACAUGUAAGCCAGUCCAUUAGCCAUACGGGGCACAAAACGGUAUGUAACUUUAUCAAAUUGAGUUUCUAGAAUACUAAUGUGGUGUAUAAUCGGCCUAAUAAUCGAUAUAUCCUUCUCAUUUUUCUUGAUACUUUUGAUAACUAUUAGGGAAUCACCUUUCACAAUCAGUCGUCGGAAGCCCAUCGCACUUGCAAAAAUUAACGCCCUUUUGCAUGCCCUUGCUUUAGCCACAAAGGCAUCAACAACAUCUGCAAAAAGAUAAGUUUCCGCCCCUAUAAUUUCUCCUGUUGAAUCUUUGGCUAG
RNAcentral lists this long non-coding RNA (464 nucleotides) under Gossypium barbadense (sea-island cotton). Its description in RNAcentral is "long non-coding RNA (GBAR_LNC006573)". Lineage: Eukaryota; Viridiplantae; Streptophyta; Magnoliopsida; Malvales; Malvaceae. The record is from RNAcentral.